Molecule: ribosomal RNA, 492 nt
Filed under: uncultured bacterium
Lineage: Bacteria
Description: partial 16S ribosomal RNA
Rfam family: Bacterial small subunit ribosomal RNA
Source: RNAcentral
AGUGAACGCUGGCGGUAGGCCUAACACAUGCAAGUCGAACGGCAGCACAGUAAGAGCUUGCUCUUACGGGUGGCGAGUGGCGGACGGGUGAGGAAUACAUCGGAAUCUACUUUUUCGUGGGGGAUAACGUAGGGAAACUUACGCUAAUACCGCAUACGACCUACGGGUGAAAGCAGGGGAUCUUCGGACCUUGCGCGAGUGAAUGAGCCGAUGUCGGAUUAGCUAGUUGGCUGGGUAAAGGCCCACCAAGGCGACGAUCCGUAGCUGGUCUGAGAGGAUGAUCGUCCACACUGGAACUGAGACACGGUCCAGCCUCCUACGGCAGGCAGCAGUGGGGAAUAUUGCACAAUGGGCGAAAGCCUUAACCAGCCAUACCGCGUGGGUGAAGAAGGCCUUCGGGUUGUAAAGCCCUUUUGUUGGGAAAGAAAAGCAGCAGGUUAAUACCCCGCUGUUCUGACGGUACCCAAAGAAUAAGCACCGGCUAACUUCGUG